AUCCUGGCUCAGGAUGAACGCUGGCGGUAUGCCUAAUACAUGCAAGUCGUACGUGCAUCUUAGUAAAAUUAUUUAUAAUUUUGCUAAGAGAUAAGUGGCGGACGGGUGAGUAAUGCAUAAAAAUCUGCCCUUUGGCUAGGAAUAACGAUUGGAAACGAUUGCUAAGACCUAAUAUGCUGAGAAGUGAAACAAAGGAUGAGUUUAUGUCUGAUUAGCUAGUUGGUGAGAUAAAAGCUCACCAAGGCAACGAUCAGUAGCUGGUUUGAGAGGAUGAUCAGCCACAUUGGGACUGAGACACGGCCCAAACUCCUACGGGAGGCAGCAGUAAGGAAUUUUCCGCAAUGGGCGCAAGCCUGACGGAGCAAUACCGCGUGAAGGAAGACGGUCCAUGGACUGUAAACUUCUUUUGAUAGAAAUGAAGUUCUGACAUUAUCUAUAGAAAAAGCAUCGGCUAACUCCGUGCCAGCAGCCGCGGUAAUACGGGGGAUGCAAGCGUUAUCCGGAAUGAUUGGGCGUAAAGCGUCUGUCGGUGGGUUUAGAAGUCUGUACGUUAAAUCGUAAAGCUCAACUUUAUUAAAGCUACAGAAACUCUAGAUCUUGAGCAUGGUAGGGGUAGAGGGAAUUUUGAGAGUAGCGGUGAAAUGCGUAGAUACUCGAAGGAACACCGACGGCGAAAGCACUCUACUGGGCCAUGUCUGACACUCAGAGACGAAAGCGUGGGGAGCCAAUAGGAUUAGAGACCCUAGUAGUCCACGCAGUAAACGAUGGAAACUAAAUGUAGCUUCAAUUAUUUUUGAGUGGUAUUCCCACACAUUUGAUAGUUCUGGCUGUGUUGUAGCUAACGCGUUAAGUUUCCCGCCUGGGGAGUACGAUCGCAAGGUUGAAACUCAAAGGAAUUGACGGGGGCCCACUCAACCGGUGGAACAUGUGGUUUAAUUCGAUGCAACGCGAAGAACCUUACCAAGGUUUGAAAUCAGCGCUUGACGAUAAGAAAUUGUUGUCUUUUAUGGCGUUGACAGGUGGUGCAUGGCUGUCGUCAGCUCGUGUCGUGAGAUGUUGCGUUAAGUCGCGCAACGAGCGCAACCCUUGUCGAUUUGUUAUGAUAAACGAACGAGACUGCCAAUGAUACAUUGGAGGAAGGAGAGGACGACGUCAAGUCAUCAUGCCCCUUACACCUUGGGCUACACACGUGUUACAAUGGCCAGGACAAUGAGCAGCUACCCUGUAAAGGCAAGCGAAUCUCAAAAACCUGGUCUCAGUUCGGAUUGAGGGCUGAAACUCGCCCUCAUGAAGUCGGAAUCGGUAGUAAUCCCGGGUCAGCCAUACCGGGGUGAAUACGACCCUGGGCCUUGUACACACCGCCCGUCACACCAUGGAAAUUGGCCAGACCCGAAGUCAUUUUCUGAACCUUUUUGGACAGAGAUGCCUAAGGUCGGGCUGGUAACUGGGGUGAAGUCGUAACAAGGUA
RNAcentral lists this ribosomal RNA (1468 nucleotides) under Pterosperma cristatum. Its description in RNAcentral is "bacterial SSU rRNA". It matches the Rfam family "Bacterial small subunit ribosomal RNA". The record is from RNAcentral. Lineage: Eukaryota; Viridiplantae; Chlorophyta; Pyramimonadophyceae; Pyramimonadales; Pterospermataceae.